Molecule: ribosomal RNA, 497 nt
Filed under: uncultured bacterium
Lineage: Bacteria
Description: partial 16S ribosomal RNA
Rfam family: Bacterial small subunit ribosomal RNA
Source: RNAcentral
GAUGAACGCUGGCGGCGUGCCUAAUACAUGCAAGUCGAGCGAACGGACGAGAAGCUUGCUUCUCUGAUGUUAGCGGCGGACGGGUGAGUAACACGUGGAUAACCUACCUAUAAGACUGGGAUAACUUCGGGAAACCGGAGCUAAUACCGGAUGAUAUUUUGAACCGCAUGGUUCAAAAGUGAAAGACGGUCUUGCUGUCACUUAUAGAUGGAUCCGCGCUGCAUUAGCUAGUUGGUAAGGUAACGGCUUACCAAGGCAACGAUGCAUAGCCGACCUGAGAGGGGGAUCGGCCACACUGGAACUGAGACACGGUCCAGACUCCUACGGGAGGCAGCAGUAGGGAAUCUUCCGCAAUGGGCGAAAGCCUGACGGAGCAACGCCGCGUGAGUGAUGAAGGUCUUCGGAUCGUAAAACUCUGUUAUUAGGGAAGAACAUAUGUGUAAGUAACUGUGCACAUCUUGACAGUACCUAAUCAGAAAGCCACGGCUAACUACGUG